CAAGAAAGUAUGCAAGAACUGCUAACUCAUGCAACCGUGCCUAAACGUACGGCUUUCUU
Molecule: transfer RNA, 59 nt
Filed under: Neodon forresti (Forrest's mountain vole)
Lineage: Eukaryota; Metazoa; Chordata; Mammalia; Rodentia; Cricetidae
Description: tRNA-Ser
Source: RNAcentral